UCGAGAAUUUUUCACAAUGGGCGAAAGCCUGAUGGAGCGACGCCGCGUGGGGGAUGAAUGGCUUCGGCCCGUAAACCCCUGUCAUUUGCGAACAAACCUUUCUACCUAAUACGUGGAGAGCUGAUUGUAGCGGAAGAGGAAGGGACGGCUAACUCUGUGCCAGCAGCCGCGGUAAUACAGAGGUCCCAAGCGUUGUUCGGAUUCACUGGGCGUAAAGGGUGCGUAGGCGGUUGGGUAAGUCUGAUGUGAAAUCUCGGAGCUUAACUCCGAAACUGCAUUGGAUACUAUCCAGCUUGAGGAGUGGAAGGGAGACUGGAAUGCUCGGUGUAGCAGUGAAAUGCGUAGAUAUCGAGCGGAACACCAGUGGCGAAGGCGAGUCUCUGGACACUUCCUGACGCUGAGGCACGAAAGCCAGGGGAGCAAACGGGAUUAGAUACCCCCGUAGUCC
RNAcentral lists this ribosomal RNA (448 nucleotides) under uncultured bacterium. Its description in RNAcentral is "bacterial SSU rRNA". It matches the Rfam family "Bacterial small subunit ribosomal RNA", at positions 355 to 796 of the family's 1533-position model. The record is from RNAcentral.